This 476-nucleotide ribosomal RNA is filed under the name Bacillus pumilus. RNAcentral's name for it is "bacterial SSU rRNA". It matches the Rfam family "Bacterial small subunit ribosomal RNA", at positions 15 to 484 of the family's 1533-position model. Lineage: Bacteria; Bacillati; Bacillota; Bacilli; Caryophanales; Bacillaceae. The record is from RNAcentral.
GAUCCUGGCUCAGGACGAACGCUGGCGGCGUGCCUAAUACAUGCAAGUCGAGCGGACAGAAGGGAGCUUGCUCCCGGAUGUUAGCGGCGGACGGGUGAGUAACACGUGGGUAACCUGCCUGUAAGACUGGGAUAACUCCGGGAAACCGGAGCUAAUACCGGAUAGUUCCUUGAACCGCAUGGUUCAAGGAUGAAAGACGGUUUCGGCUGUCACUUACAGAUGGACCCGCGGCGCAUUAGCUAGUUGGUGAGGUAACGGCUCACCAAGGCGACGAUGCGUAGCCGACCUGAGAGGGUGAUCGGCCACACUGGGACUGAGACACGGCCCAGACUCCUACGGGAGGCAGCAGUAGGGAAUCUUCCGCAAUGGACGAAAGUCUGACGGAGCAACGCCGCGUGAGUGAUGAAGGUUUUCGGAUCGUAAAGCUCUGUUGUUAGGGAAGAACAAGUCAAGAGUAACUGCUUGCACCUCUGACG